GUCAUAAUUCCAUUGCUUCCCUGUGACUUCCGUAUAUUACUGAUAUAUCAGAUGUUCAACAUCUAAAUAUGCCCAGACAUCCACAGCCCAAUUGCAAGCAUAUAAUAUUAUCUCCUCUUUGUAAUGGUUAGAAUUGAUAAAUCACUGUCUUCACAUCUUGUGUUGCUCUUCUUCCUCAUCCAAUCACUCUCCAUUCCAAUGCAUUUCCUACAAUUCAUAAUCCAGAUCCUUCUAGUAUCCUUGUGAACAGUAGCAGCAUAACAGGAGAUCCAAAACAAGCAUCUCUUUCUUGUACCAACUUAGAAUCUCUUGUAACUUUUCUCACCUUUGGCCUUUGACAUAUCUUCAUCACUAAAAUCUAAAUCUCCACCAAGACCUAAAAGUUUCUUCUAGUUGCUUCUUAACUAUUCUUAAACUUUCAGCUUCACGAUUACUCAGACCUUGAAAAAACAUUAGAGAACUAACUUUCCCAAGCCCUAAACUAUCAAAUACACAGAAGUGAGCAGGUAACCACUAACCAAUAAAAUCUACAUCUAUAUGACUUCUCAAAAAGCAAGGAAUAAAACAAUUUGCACAAUGACAUAAACACAAACUUAGGAACACAUCUAUUACUAAUUUAGCCGUUUGGUCUAAGCCUCUAAGGCAAAGUAAGAUUUCAAGGUUUUAGA
This 668-nucleotide unclassified non-coding RNA is filed under the name Hevea brasiliensis (rubber tree). The record is from RNAcentral. Lineage: Eukaryota; Viridiplantae; Streptophyta; Magnoliopsida; Malpighiales; Euphorbiaceae.